UACGUAGGGGGCAAGCGUUGUCCGGAAUCAUUGGGCGUAAAGCGCGUGUAGGCGGCUUGGUAAGUCCGUUCUGAAAGCCCGGGGCUCAACCCCGGGAGGCGGAUGGAUACUGUCAAGCUUGAGUCCGGAAGAGGCGAGUGGAAUUCCCGGUGUAGCAGUGAAAUGCGCAGAUAUCGGGAGGAACACCAAUGGCGAAGGCAGCUCGCUGGGACGUGACUGACGCUGAGACGCGAAAGCGUGGGGAGCAAACAGG
Molecule: ribosomal RNA, 253 nt
Filed under: uncultured bacterium
Lineage: Bacteria
Description: partial 16S ribosomal RNA
Rfam family: Bacterial small subunit ribosomal RNA
Source: RNAcentral